AGAGGUAUAUCUCUAAUGAUACUGAAGUGUGCAUUGUACUUGCUUGGGGCCAAAAUCAAAUUUUGAGUGAGUCACCAUCUUCCUUGCCGGAGACCCCCUGGACAGAAGUUUUACUUUGAAAAUCUAAGGAGUAAGUGAUUAGGACUUUGUUAUUUUAUCUCUUUUGUUUUUAUCUGUUGGUGUAAAUAAUUCAUCUAAUUUAUUUAUUUUUUUUGGUCAAAGUUUUUGAGGUUUUUAUAUAGAAAGAACAGCAUCACAGGUAUGUACGUUGAAAUACAUUAGAUAGGUGUAGGCACCACAUGCAUACUGAUACAAUAACAUGAGUAAUCGGGGUCAAUUUUACAGUCCGAGCAGGUACUGAGGCUUACACAAACAAUCACAGCAGGCAUACUGGAAGGAGAUUCACAUGGUGACCAUUCAGAGAUAUACAGUAAUUUCAUGUGCGUAUCCGGAGCAUGCAUCCUGCGAUGAGGAACAAGAAAAAACAGGGAAGGGAAAAGGGUACAGAAAAGAAAGCGGGAGGGAUGAGGGAAAAGUUGAUCCCAACUACAAUCUCCUGUGCGUCCAUUCAUUAGAGUCCGUCCACUGUCAGUUAUUUGAGAGGUGUGUGUCACCCAAGUCUGCAGUGAUAACCCUUGGUUAUGCCCCUAUUAAUUUGGGUCACCCAGACCCCCUUCACCCGUUUCCCGUCCCCCUAAGGGGAGGCUCAUGGCC
Pelobates cultripes (western spadefoot toad) is the source of this 714-nucleotide non-coding RNA. The record is from the annotation of a GenBank genome assembly. NCBI's taxonomy places the organism in Eukaryota, Metazoa, Chordata, Amphibia, Anura, Pelobatidae.